ACGUCGCGAAAAUCAACAGAGAGCGUAAUCAAUUGUUAUUAAGCUUAGAUGUACAAGAAUAGGACCGAAAUAACACGCUCCCCCAGCCACAAAGCAGAGUAUCUUCCAUAAAAAAACUGAGUAUCUCCCCUCACUGUAAAAAACAGAGUAUUUAACUUUGCUACAAAGCAGCUUGUGAAGCACAGAAAACCAGUCGUAACUUUCAGCCACUGCUUCACCCUCAGUGCAACGUACACCUCCACUCCACUCACCUGUACCAAUGGGGUGUGAUCUCUUUGAUUUUCAUCUCCAGCAAGCACUGCUUAAUAACAAAACUAUCAAUGACCAUUUUUACAGUCUGAAACAUAGGCACAUAGAUAUUAGUAUAUGUACUACAAAAUAUAAAUAAAUGCUCAACAUACAGCAAGCCACUGGAGGCAUUGCUCCUGAAGGGCAUUCACUAUUGUAUAUGUAUCAUUAGAUUACUACUUAAUUGAACAAACUUUCACCCUUUUGCACUAUACAAUAUAAAGCAAGAUUUGAAAUCGAACAGGGAACAGAAUACUUGGUUUGAUUUCUUUGAGAUAUAAAACAUCAAGCCUCGUAUCUAGGACCAACACUGCAUACGUGUAAAGGUAAAAAUAAUUUGUACUCUUUACAUCGUAGCCAGAAGGGACAGUCAUUGUGCACAUGUAAAUGUCUGAAGUAUGAAGCAACAUUAAUAUGCAUGGAUAAUCACAUUGCAAAGACAGUACUUUCUCGCAGAUUAAACUAUCCUGCAAACCAGCCACCAAAUCAAUUUAGUAUGGACACAAAAAAUUACCAAACAACACACUAACCAAGUGAAAGCAAUGAUCACCUCACAUUCUGGGACGGGCUCCUUCUCUUUAGGUGUCAUAUUUUGCUGACAUGCUCUAACACUUACUCGCCUUGCUUGGAUUUCUUCUGGUGUACGGCUAGCAUAUCUUAUUGCUUCACAUUCACGCUUUCACCCUACAACAUUUACGCAAGAAAUUAAUUAAGUGGGUAAAUGAAAUUAUAUAAGCAAACACAUUCGCCUUAUAGAUUUACCUUUUGAGCUUUCUCCUCGCUCCAAGACCU
This 1080-nucleotide long non-coding RNA is filed under the name Triticum aestivum (bread wheat). RNAcentral's name for it is "long non-coding RNA (TAES_LNC004962)". The record is from RNAcentral. Lineage: Eukaryota; Viridiplantae; Streptophyta; Magnoliopsida; Poales; Poaceae.